UGGGGAAUAUUGCACAAUGGAGGGAACUCUGAUGCAGCGACGCCGCGUGAACGAAGAAGGCUUUCGAGUCGUAAAGUUCUUUUAUAUGGGAAGAUAAUGACGGUACCAUAAGAAGAAGCCCCGGCUAACUACGUGCCAGCAGCCGCGGUAAUACGUUGGGGGCUAGCGUUGUCCGGAAUCACUGGGCGUAAAGGGUUCGCAGGCGGAAAUGCAAGUCAGGUGUAAAAGGCAGUAGCUUAACUACUGUAAGCAUUUGAAACUGCAUAUCUUGAGAAGAGUAGAGGUAAGUGGAAUUUUUAGUGUAGCGGUGAAAUGCGUAGAUAUUAAAAAGAAUACCGGUGGCGAAGGCGACUUACUGGGCUCAUUCUGACGCUGAGGAACGAAAGCGUGGGUAGCAAACAGG
This 403-nucleotide ribosomal RNA is filed under the name bacterium. Its description in RNAcentral is "partial 16S ribosomal RNA". It matches the Rfam family "Bacterial small subunit ribosomal RNA", at positions 355 to 776 of the family's 1533-position model. The record is from RNAcentral.